Molecule: long non-coding RNA, 2305 nt
Organism: Hemibagrus wyckioides
Lineage: Eukaryota; Metazoa; Chordata; Actinopteri; Siluriformes; Bagridae
Exons: 2
Source: RefSeq, a predicted model, not a curated record
ACUUUACUCUGUGUGUUUUGGAGAAAGAGGCAGUCUUUGGCAUGUUGCCAGUCCUUGAGACCACCAGUAAGCCUCCAGUUUUCACAUGAUGACCGAUAAUAACCUCGGAUCAGGGCCAGGCUACAGCCAGCAGAUUAGCGUUAGGCAAAGAAAGAGGAAGCGCAAAGCGAAGCCUCCAAGAGCAACAAACCACACGUGUUCAUGCUUGAACAUGCUGAGUGAAGCCUGCAGUAAUGCUGACAGAAUUCUACUCGAAUGUUGAGUUGCAACAAUGAACUCUGCACUUUUACUUUCAGAAGUAACUCCGCUGGCUACUUUGUCCUUCGCUUCUACAUCACUCAGUGAGCCGAAUGUUGGAAAAAGCAGCAGUGCAUACGGCUGCUGAAGGAAUAUAUAUAUAUAUAUAUAUAUAUAUAUAUAUAUAUAUAUAUAUAUAUAUAUAUAUAUAUAUAUAUAUAUAUAAGAUUCAGGGCUUUUCACUCUGCUGCAAGAAAGCUCUUUGUUUCCCCCCUGCACAAAGUUCCUCAAAAUGAACUCACACAUCCACAUACAUGCAUGCUGUGAAAGAAAAAAAAAUAAAGCAUGGAAUUAUUGCACAGUAAACUUUUGUCCUCCGACAUCCCUGUUGUAUAUUUAGACACCCCGUGACUUGUCCUCACAUGCCAGAAACGGAGUAUAGAUCUUAUCUGUGCUUCAUGUGUAGAUUGAAUGCUUUUGCUAGAACUAUCUGAUUAUUCACUUUUGUGAAAAAGAUUAGACUGGUUGCACAAAGGGAAGUGGGUUAAAGGGCAUGUAUGCAGUAAACAACAUAUUACUUGCACAAGACAAUGGCGUUUCUGCAAAAAACGUUUUUAUUCAAGACGGAAUCAAAUUGAUAUUGACAGCAGAAAUUUAUUCAGCUCACACGAUCACUAAUCACCUGUAGAUAUCUGGCAGUUAUUUUGGCAGUACUACAAUAUGUUUUAAUGGAUUAUGGAUGUAUUUAAAUGUCAAGAAAUCUGAUAGACACCUGGAUUUUAUCCCAAUAGUCAGGUUAUGUAUACUUUUAUUUAUUUAUUUAUUUAUUGGUUGUAUUUAACAUGUGCACUAUUAUAGCUAAGAUAUGCAGAAUAAAGUUUGAAAUGUUUUAAUUAUUCAUAGAUGGAAGAAAGAAGGCAUUUUGCAACCAUAAAUCAUUCCAAUAAACUUGUUACCAGUCACAUGAAAUCCAGAAGAGCAUGAUGGGUUAGGAAUGGAUGUAAUUAUAAAGCUGAAACAACUUACUCUGUAAUGCUCACUAUUAGACUUCUCAACACAAUCAUGUGAUUAAACCAAGUCACCAUUAUGCCAUGAUUUACAGUUUUAAUUUCUAUAUUAACCGAGGCUCAGAUCUUUAACCAAAGUUUUAGUUUAGCUCUUACUGGAAGGUAGUUUUGCAGCUUGUAGGGAUUUUCCCGAAAAGAAGUCUGAUCAUCGAUCGAAUCCUUGCUGCUGUUUUCUGGCGUACAAGCAAACACGCUCAGGCUUUCAUUUAUUAAGAUCCUAAAUAACGAGUGCUAAUUUGCGUGAGCAAUCGGAUUAAUUGUGCAAGUGGGUCUGCUGUGGUUGAUUUACCAAGAAUAAUUAGGUGCAUGACAUCAUGUACAACACUGGAGGAGGACACAGUAUGUAAAUAAGGCGUUGCAUGUUCUUAAUAGCCUCAAUGAGUGUGGAAAAAGAAACUCCUGGAAAAGAGAGAGAGAAAGAGAGAGACUUCUGAUUUCCACAAAAUCACAAGUUAGAUGAACUAGAUAUCAUUCGUUUUAAUUUUGGUACGACUUUAUUCCAAAAAUUUGAAGGAGGCUUUCACUCAUACUGAUUUGCGCCUGCAGUCUAGUACAUUGCUUAUAAAACUAACCAAUUUGCUCAGGCACCACCCUGUAGAAACAUCCCCAACUGCAUCUUCAUUUCAGCCAAACGCAUUUCAUUACAAAUUUUGCUCAUGCAAAAGAUGCAAUCCUUAGUGAUUCUCGUUAGUAAAUCAGUGUGCAUGCUUUUUGUGGUUGAUAUCAAGCUUACACAUUCUUACACACACUAACAUUUAUUUAAAGGUCAAGGUUUAACGAACUUUGUCAUAUGCACAAGCUUCCUUUAACGAUGAACUUUGCACAUUCUUACUGAUGCUGCAGUAGAAAACUAGGGAUAAAUAACAAAUAAGAGAACAAUAGAAGAACUCGUGGAAUAAGUUGUGGAAGAGAUUCAGCAUGCUCUCAUGUGAUGUGUUUCCAUGACAUUGUAUUGUAGCUGUUCAUUGUUCAUUGUUUUAAAUAAAGACGUUUUACUCACA